Oncorhynchus tshawytscha (Chinook salmon) is the source of this 322-nucleotide long non-coding RNA. NCBI's taxonomy places the organism in Eukaryota, Metazoa, Chordata, Actinopteri, Salmoniformes, Salmonidae. The record is from Ensembl.
GUUGGACUAGUAACCAGCAGGUAGCCUAGUGGUUAGAGUGUUGGACUAGUAACCAGCAGGUAGCCUAGUGGUUAGAGCGUUGGACUAGUAACCAGCAGGUAGACUAGUGGUUAGAGCGUUGGACUAGUAACCAGCAGGUAGCCUAGUGGUUAGAGCGUUGGACUAGUAACCAGCAGGUAGCCUAGUGGUUAGAGUGUUGGACUAGUAACCAGCAGGUAGCCUAGUGGUUAGAGUGUUGGACUAGUAACCAGCAGGUAGCCUAGUGGUUAGAGUGUUGGACUAGUAACCAGCAGGUAGCCUAGUGGUUAGAGCGUUGGACUAG